RNAcentral lists this ribosomal RNA (205 nucleotides) under uncultured fungus. Its description in RNAcentral is "partial small subunit ribosomal RNA". The stretch from base 87 to 205 matches the Rfam family "Eukaryotic small subunit ribosomal RNA", at positions 742 to 863 of the family's 1831-position model. Lineage: Eukaryota; Fungi. The record is from RNAcentral.
GUUUGGACUCUCUUGUCAUCCUUUAUGGUUUGUACUUGAGUUGGCCAAUCCUUCUUUCUAGUAACCUUGUACGCAAGUGCAAGAGGACUAGGACUUUUACUUUGAAGAAAUUAGAGUGUUUAAGGCAGGCUUAUGCUUGAAUAUAUUAGCAUGGGAUAAUAGAAUAGGACUUUGGUUCUAUUUUGUUGGUUGAAGGACCAAAGUA